AUUGAACGCUGGCGGCAGGCCUAACACAUGCAAGUCGAACGGUAACAGGAAACAGCUUGCUGUUUCGCUGACGAGUGGCGGACGGGUGAGUAAUGUCUGGGAAACUGCCUGAUGGAGGGGGAUAACUACUGGAAACGGUAGCUAAUACCGCAUAACGUCGCAAGACCAAAGAGGGGGACCUUCGGGCCUCUUGCCAUCGGAUGUGCCCAGAUGGGAUUAGCUAGUAGGUGGGGUAACGGCUCACCUAGGCGACGAUCCCUAGCUGGUCUGAGAGGAUGACCAGCCACACUGGAACUGAGACACGGUCCAGACUCCUCCGGGAGGCAGCAGUGGGGAAUAUUGCACAAUGGGCGCAAGCCUGAUGCAGCCAUGCCGCGUGUAUGAAGAAGGCCUUCGGGUUGUAAAGUACUUUCAGCGGGGAGGAAGGGAGUAAAGUUAAUACCUUUACUCAUUGACGUUACCCGCAGAAGAAGCACCGGCUAACUCCGUG
This 490-nucleotide ribosomal RNA is filed under the name uncultured bacterium. Its description in RNAcentral is "partial 16S ribosomal RNA". It matches the Rfam family "Bacterial small subunit ribosomal RNA", at positions 30 to 507 of the family's 1533-position model. The record is from RNAcentral.